RNAcentral lists this ribosomal RNA (448 nucleotides) under uncultured bacterium. RNAcentral describes it as "partial 16S ribosomal RNA". It matches the Rfam family "Bacterial small subunit ribosomal RNA", at positions 355 to 796 of the family's 1533-position model. The record is from RNAcentral.
UGGGGAAUUUUGGACAAUGGGCGCAAGCCUGAUCCAGCCAUGCCGCGUGCGGGAAGAAGGCCUUCGGGUUGUAAACCGCUUUUGUCAGGGAAGAAAUCUUCUGAGUUAAUACCUCGGGAGGAUGACGGUACCUGAAGAAUAAGCACCGGCUAACUACGUGCCAGCAGCCGCGGUAAUACGUAGGGUGCAAGCGUUAAUCGGAAUUACUGGGCGUAAGCGUGCGCAGGCGGUUUUGUAAGACAGAGGUGAAAUCCCCGGGCUCAACCUGGGAACUGCCUUUGUGACUGCAAGGCUUGAGUGCGGCANAGGGGGAUGGAAUUCCGCGUGUAGCAGUGAAAUGCGUAGAUAUGCGGAGGAACACCGAUGGCGAAGGCAAUCCCCUGGGCCUGCACUGACGCUCAUGCACGAAAGCGUGGGGAGCAAACAGGAUUAGAUACCCUGGUAGUCC